UACAGAGGCCCCGAGCGUUAAUCGGAAUCACUGGGCUUAAAGGGCGCGUAGGCGGCAAUUCAAGUCAGUUGUGAAAUCUCCGAGCUUAACUCGGAACGGUCAACUGAUACUGUUUUGCUAGAGUACAGAAGGGGCAAUCGGAAUUCUUGGUGUAGCGGUGAAAUGCGUAGAGUAUCAAGAGGAACACCUGAGGUGAAGACGGGUUGCUGGGCUGAUACUGACGCUGAGGCGCGAAAGCUAGGGUAGCAAACGGG
RNAcentral lists this ribosomal RNA (254 nucleotides) under uncultured bacterium. RNAcentral's name for it is "partial 16S ribosomal RNA". It matches the Rfam family "Bacterial small subunit ribosomal RNA", at positions 524 to 776 of the family's 1533-position model. The record is from RNAcentral.